AUGCAUUCGCAACCUUGGGAGAAAAUUUCAGUGUCAAAAUUCAGAGGUGGCAUGGGGUUUUGGGGUGUUGAGCUGUUUAAUGAAUGUAUGUUGGCAAAACAAUCAUGGCGCCUGAUGGAUAAACCGGAGAGCCUAUGUGCUCGGGUGUUAAAGGGGAGGUAUUACCCUCAUUGUGAUUUCCUUGAUGUAGAUUGCCCGAAGAAUGCAUCUCAAACCUGGAAAGAAAUCGUGCAGGGAAGAGAGGUUCUGAAGGAAAGAUUUAUUCAAAGAGUUGGGGAUGGGUGUACUACAAAAAUCUGGCAUGACCAGUGGAUUUCAGAUACAACUUCGAUGAAACCAGUAUGUCGGCUGAGUGAUGAACCGGUGCAAUUGGUUCAUGAUUUAUUGGAAGAGGAAACAUAG
RNAcentral lists this ribosomal RNA (402 nucleotides) under Triticum aestivum (bread wheat). RNAcentral's name for it is "partial small subunit ribosomal RNA". The record is from RNAcentral. Lineage: Eukaryota; Viridiplantae; Streptophyta; Magnoliopsida; Poales; Poaceae.